CCCUUUGUUCAAUUCCGCUGCGAGAAAACGAAAAGAAACAAAGAGCACUAGAGAGAGAGAGAGAGAGGAAACAUAGUAGAAGAGAAGAAAUGAGAAUUCGAUCGAGAGUUGGGGCUGGAUUACGGUAGAGGAGGAAGGAACUAAAUCGAGAGGACGAAAGGGGAGCGAGAGUUCGGGGUGACAGCAACAAAGAACCGAAGGAGUCGAGGAGAUCAAGGCUAUACACCUGGAAGGCUCGACUUGUUAUUUAUCAUUUUGGGAGUCUUUGUGAGUAUUUUUAUUCGAUUAUAGAAUGAAAUCAAAUCUUAAAUAAUUAUAUAAAUGCUUGUUUGAAUGAGAUAAGUUAAAUGAAGAUAGUAUGAGAAUUUUGAGGAUU
Punica granatum (pomegranate) is the source of this 376-nucleotide non-coding RNA. NCBI's taxonomy places the organism in Eukaryota, Viridiplantae, Streptophyta, Magnoliopsida, Myrtales, Lythraceae. The record is from RefSeq and is a predicted model, not a curated record.